Molecule: transfer RNA, 99 nt
Filed under: Xenorhabdus doucetiae
Lineage: Bacteria; Pseudomonadati; Pseudomonadota; Gammaproteobacteria; Enterobacterales; Morganellaceae
Description: tRNA-Und (NNN) (tRNA-Und-NNN-2-1)
Source: RNAcentral
AUAUGCAAAAUAGGCAAAUUUAAAUUGUUAACAUUAUUUCAACUUACGAGGGGAUUGAAAAUCCCCGUGUCGGUGGUUCGAUUCCGCCUCCGGGCACCA